GAUGAACGCUGGCGGCGUGCCUAAUACAUGCAAGUCGAGCGAACGGACGAGAAGCUUGCUUCUCUGAUGUUAGCGGCGGACGGGUGAGUAACACGUGGAUAACCUACCUAUAAGACUGGGAUAACUUCGGGAAACCGGAGCUAAUACCGGAUAAUAUUUUGAACCGCAUGGUUCAAAAGUGAAGGACGGUCUUGCUGUCACUUAUAGAUGGAUCCGCGCUGCAUUAGCUAGUUGGUAAGGUAACGGCUUACCAAGGCAACGAUGCAUAGCCGACCUGAGAGGGUGAUCGGCCACACUGGAACUGAGACACGGUCCAGACUCCUACGGGAGGCAGCAGUAGGGAAUCUUCCGCAAUGGGCGAAAGCCUGACGGAGCAACGCCGCGUGAGUGAUGAAGGUCUUCGGAUCGUAAAACUCUGUUAUUAGGGAAGAACAUAUGUGUAAGUAACUGUGCACAUCUUGACGGUACCUAAUCAGAAAGCCACGGCUAACUACGU
This 496-nucleotide ribosomal RNA is filed under the name uncultured bacterium. RNAcentral's name for it is "partial 16S ribosomal RNA". It matches the Rfam family "Bacterial small subunit ribosomal RNA", at positions 28 to 506 of the family's 1533-position model. The record is from RNAcentral.